AUGACAAUAUCCUAUAUAUACCAUGCACCUACAGUUUGACAAACCAACCUCGACACACAAAACAUCUCAGAAACACAAGAAAAUUGUUGCGGCAAAACCAUGAGGUCGCCGCAAGCUCUCUCGCUUCUUGUUGUUGUCCUCCUCCUUGCCUCGUCCAGUGCUUCCGUCAUAGAAGACACAUGCAGGCGCUUCGAUGGCGCUGACAUCUACGAUAUCUGCAUCAAGUUCUUCAAGGCCAACAAGGAUAGCACCACCACGGACAAGCGUGGCCUUGCUGUCAUCGCCAUUGGGAUUGCCAGUGCAACAGCUGUGGACACCCGCAAGCGUGUCGCCACCCUGAAGGCCGAGGAAAAGGAUCAAAUUAUCCAGCAUGUCCUCGCCUACUGUGACAAUAUGUACUCCAGUGUUGUGGGCCUAUUUGACAAGGCUGCCAGGGGCAUCUCGUUGGGCAGGUUGGGCGACGCGGUGAUGAGCCUUAGCUCCGCACUGGACAUUCCCAAAUAUUGCGAUGACAAGUUCCUCGAGGCAGGCGUGAAGUCGCCAUUCGAUGCCGAGAACAGCGAGUUCGAGGUGCAAUGUGCAAUCACUCUGGGUGUAACGAAGAUGCUGACCAUGUAGUUAGCGAGUUGGCGAGGACAUGAAUGUGGGAAACUACAAUAAGAGUCCAUAGUAAUUUUGAUGAGUAAACUCCUCAAAAUUAAUAAGCCCACAA
This is an RNA transcript of Triticum aestivum (bread wheat), 712 nucleotides long. RefSeq lists it as uncharacterized. The record is from RefSeq and is a predicted model, not a curated record. Lineage: Eukaryota; Viridiplantae; Streptophyta; Magnoliopsida; Poales; Poaceae. The transcript has a single exon.